AACGCGAAGAACCUUACCUGGACUUGACAUCCCGAGAACCCUCUGGAAACAGAGGGGUGCUCUUCGGAGAACUCGGUGACAGGUGCUGCACGGCUGUCGUCAGCUCGUGUCGUGAGAUGUUGGGUUAAGUCCCGCAACGAGCGCAACCCUUGUCUUUAAUUGCCAUCAUUCAGUUGGGCACUUUAAAGAGACUGCCGGUGUUAAACCGGAGGAAGGUGGGGAUGACGUCAAGUCCUCAUGGCCUUUAUGUCCAGGGCUACACACGUGCUACAAUGGGUGGUACAAAGAGCAGCAACCUCGCGAGAGGAAGCAAAUCUCAAAAAGCCAUCCUCAGUUCGGAUUGGAGUCUGCAACUCGACUCCAUGAAGUCGGAAUCGCUAGUAA
RNAcentral lists this ribosomal RNA (384 nucleotides) under uncultured bacterium. RNAcentral describes it as "bacterial SSU rRNA". It matches the Rfam family "Bacterial small subunit ribosomal RNA", at positions 958 to 1341 of the family's 1533-position model. The record is from RNAcentral.